This 284-nucleotide unclassified non-coding RNA is filed under the name Hevea brasiliensis (rubber tree). The record is from RNAcentral. Lineage: Eukaryota; Viridiplantae; Streptophyta; Magnoliopsida; Malpighiales; Euphorbiaceae.
GUCAAAAUGGUCCUCCUAACUUCUCUCAGAAGAGCCAAUGCACUGAGGAUUUCUAGUAAGUAUAGCUUUAGAUCAUCCGAGCAAGUAUUCAACAAAUUGAGAAUGAUUUCCAGCCCACCAUGUCUAACUACAAUCUCACGGUUAUGAGCAGCAAACGUGACACUAUUUCUAAGGCAUUUCAAUAAAACCCUUCGCAAACUCCCAUCAGCAUGCAAUAAUAAACUCAAAAGAGAAGGGAUGGCACCUGAUUCACCAAUAAGUACAGCCAAUCUACCUUCCCCUCG